GGUUGUGGUUCAGUGGUAGAGCACUUGCCUAGCAUGUGUGAGGCACUGUGUUCAAUUCUCAGCACCA
This 67-nucleotide transfer RNA is filed under the name Marmota monax (woodchuck). RNAcentral describes it as "tRNA.Ala". The record is from RNAcentral. Lineage: Eukaryota; Metazoa; Chordata; Mammalia; Rodentia; Sciuridae.